This 230-nucleotide ribosomal RNA is filed under the name Bacillus cereus. Its description in RNAcentral is "partial 16S ribosomal RNA". It matches the Rfam family "Bacterial small subunit ribosomal RNA", at positions 1 to 214 of the family's 1533-position model. Lineage: Bacteria; Bacillati; Bacillota; Bacilli; Caryophanales; Bacillaceae. The record is from RNAcentral.
UUUAUUGGAGAGUUUGAUCCUGGCUCAGGAUGAACGCUGGCGGCGUGCCUAAUACAUGCAAGUCGAGCGAAUGGAUUAAGAGCUUGCUCUUAUGAAGUUAGCGGCGGACGGGUGAGUAACACGUGGGUAACCUGCCCAUAAGAUUGGGAUAACUCCGGGAAACCGGGGCUAAUACCGGAUAAUAUUUUGAACCGCAUGGUUCGGAAUUAAAAGGCGGCUUCGGCUGUUAC